UACGUAGGGUGCGAGCGUUGUCCGGAAUUAUUGGACGUAAAGGGCUCGUAGGCGGCUUGUUGCGUCUACUGUGAAAGCUCGGGGCUUAACUCCGGGUGUGCAGUGGAUACGGGCAGGCUAGAGUCCGGUAGAGGAGACUGGAAUUCCUGGUGUAGCGGUGAAAUGCGCAGAUAUCAGGAGGAACACCGGUGGCGAAGGCGGGUCUCUGGGCCGGUACUGACGCUGAGGAGCGAAAGCGUGGGGAGCGAACAGGCUUAGAUACCCUGGUAGU
Molecule: ribosomal RNA, 271 nt
Filed under: uncultured prokaryote
Description: partial 16S ribosomal RNA
Rfam family: Bacterial small subunit ribosomal RNA
Source: RNAcentral